GACGAACGCUGGCGGCGUGCCUAAUACAUGCAAGUAGAACGCUGAAGAGAGGAGCUUGCUCUUCUUGGCUGAGUUGCGAACGGGUGAGUAACGCGUAGGUAACCUGCCUUGUAGCGGGGGAUAACUAUUGGAAACGAUAGCUAAUACCGCAUAACAAUGGAUGACACAUGUCCUUUAUUUGAAAGGGGCAAUUGCUCCACUACAAGAUGGACCUGCUUUGUAUUAGCUAGUAGGUGAGGUAAUGGCUCACCUAGGCGACGAUACAUAGCCGACCGGAGAGGGUGAUCGGCCACACUGGGAGUGAGACACGGCCCAGACGCCUACGGGAGGCAGCAGUAGGAAAUCUUCGGCAAUGGGGGCAACCCUGACCGAGCAACGCCGCGUGAGUGAAGAAGGUUUUCGGAUCGGAAAGCUCUGUUGUAAGUCAAGAACGGGUAUGAGAGUGGAAAGUUCACACUGUGACGGUAGCUUACCAGAAAGGGACGGCUAACUACGUG
This 497-nucleotide ribosomal RNA is filed under the name uncultured bacterium. RNAcentral's name for it is "partial 16S ribosomal RNA". It matches the Rfam family "Bacterial small subunit ribosomal RNA", at positions 28 to 507 of the family's 1533-position model. The record is from RNAcentral.